RNAcentral lists this long non-coding RNA (2687 nucleotides) under Ananas comosus (pineapple). RNAcentral's name for it is "long non-coding RNA (ACOM_LNC004833)". Lineage: Eukaryota; Viridiplantae; Streptophyta; Magnoliopsida; Poales; Bromeliaceae. The record is from RNAcentral.
GUCAAAUUAGAUAUUUAUUUAUUCAGAAAAGAAGAGAAAAUAUAGAUACACUAAUAAGUGCAAUCAAUAAUUAUUACUUUACUCUAAGGGUGCGUUUGGUUCGAGUUAUCCUGCCAGGAUUACAAGCAAUCAUGUCAGGAUAACUGUGUUUGGUUAAUCCGCUAUGUAAUCUAGUCUUUAAUGUAGCAUUACAAAUCGAGCAGGAUUACAUCGAAAAUAUUAAUGGGAGGGGGGUCGUGUAUCUUGCAUUACUGAAACCCGUUAAUACUACAUAUUAUGUAAAAUGACAAUUUUACCCUCCAACAACCCUAAUCUAAUUAACAGCACUAUUUUCAUCUCUCUCUCUCGCCUUCCCCCCUCUCUCUCGCACACCGCUUUCUCUCGCUCUCUCUCUCUCUCGACGUCUCUCUCUCUCUCUCUCUCGCACGAACACGUAUCGUCUUCUAUUGCGUCGUCCUCCCAAGUAAUCAUCACAAUCUCCUUCCCUCCAUUCGUCAUUUUCGCAAAAAAUAAUAUUCAAAUGACCACAACAAGGGUAAUUUUGAAAAAAACUAUACUUUUAUGUCAGGAUUACUAAAUUUUAUAGACUGAACCAAACGUAUUAAUGCUAUAAACACUGUAAUCUAGUAUUACAUUAUUGCAUUAAACCAAACGCGCUAAUGUAGCAUCAGUAGUAAUCUCACGCCGAAAUCCAAGAUAUCUGGAUAUAUCGAGUUACUUUGUAAUAUUACAUAACUCGAACCAAACGGGUCCUAAGGGUGCGUUUUGUUCGCAUUAUGAAAGAUUACUAGGAAUGAAAAGAUGUCCGAGAAUCUUAUUCCUAUUCAUCCUAUUACUAAGAAUAUGGAAUUCCUGUGUUUGGUUCGCACGGUAAUAUUAUUUAGCCAUGUUAUUUAAUAUUACAAAAAAUAUACAAUUAAUUUAUUUAUUUUUUAAUUAAUUUUAGAUAAUGUUACUAAAAGUUUCAAUAUCUUUUUAGAAAAAAGGGGGAGAGAGUAUAAUUUAGAGAGAGAGAACAUAAUUAAAAAAAAAAAAUAGAGUCGAAAUUAGAGGGGUAAGAGAAUUGAAAUUUUAGAAAGAGAGAGAGAAAAAGCUUAGUUUAGAGAGAGAAAAAAAAAGUUAAAUUUUAGAGAGAAAGAUAAGUUUAGAGAGAGAUAUGAGGUUAGAGUGUAAAAAAAAAUAAUAUCAAUUAGCCGGCGGAUAGGGAGAAAGAAAGAGAUUAGACAUAUUAUAAUUAUCCAAAUCCAUUAAUAUGAGGAUGCACAUCCUCCCUCAAGGGAAUAAGAUUAGUACUUUGGGGUGAAUCUUAUUCUCAAGUGAAUCCAAUAUUACAAACUAGAUUAUUUAGUACGUUUAGCCAAACACCGUCAUAUUUUUUUAUUCCUAUUGGAUUACUAUGAAUCUUUAAAAGAUAGCGCGAACCAAGUGCACCCUAAGUUAAAAAUCCAUAUGAUAGCGUGCUCUCAUUCUUAUCUCCUUAAAAAAUAUCUUUUUUUUAAAAUAUAACUAAGUUUUCAAAUCGAUCCUUCUAAAAUUUAAAAUUUUUCUAAUGAAUCCUCAAAGGGUAGAGGACUAUUCCAAUAGUAAAUUAGAUAAUAAGGAGAGGCAAAUUAAAAAAUGAGGAUAAUAGCCCACAGUUUUGAGGGGCAAAUAAUAUUUUAUCUGUACAGCAUGCUCAUCAAAUUAGAUAUUAUUUAUUUAUGGAAAAAUUUCAAAUACCAUCCUUGUGGUUUUGUCUUAUUUUAUUUUAGUACCCUAUGAUUUAAAAUGUGUCGCUUUACUAUCCCGUGAUUUUAUUUUUCUUUUUUUAUUAUCUCUCUAUUAAUUUGUUUUGUUAAAUCAGUGUUAAAGUUAAAACUAAAAGGUACUAAAGUGAAUAUUCGAUAAACAUGCGUGGGAUAUCUGAAUUUUUUUUGUAUAUAAUUUAACGAAAUGUUAACGGAGGAGCUCAGAAAAAGAGAAAAAUGAAACUAUAUGAUACUAAAUUGAUACACUUUAAACCACGGGAUACUAAAAUGAGAAAUACGAAACUAUACGGGUGGUAUUAAUUUGAAGUUUACCCUUCAUUCAAGACUUUUUUUUUUCAAAACGACCCUAUAAAAUUUUUAAAUUAGAUAAAUAAUUCUAUAAAAAAUUUUUUGGCAAGUUAAUCCUUCUUUUUGCCAUAUAGGAGCCAUAUUGUAAUUUUCUCUUAAAAAGGGUGAACAAUUCAUCGUCUUCCUAAUUUUUCACAAAUACUGUGAAUCAUUCGCUUAUUUAUUAUUUCUUUUUGUAUCUCAUACAUAAUCCUAAUAACCAUAUAAAAAUUUCAACAAAUCAUAUAUAUUUUUAACAACUUGAAAAUCCUAAUAAUGUACCCAUACAAUCCCAUAUAAUCUUAACAACUUAAAAAUCCUAAUAAUCUAUCAGUACAAUCGUAACAAUCAAAUAAAAUUAUAAUAAUUCACAUAUAAUUCUAACACAAGCUCACUUUUUUUUAUUUUUCAUAUAAUUUACAUAUAAUUUUAACAAUUAUGAAGAAGAUGAAUCGUUAACCGUUUUAAAGAAUGCAGGAAAUAGGAGGCUUUCAAAAUACGGUGAAUGAUUCACCUCGUUUGAAAAAAAAAAAAAAAUUCACUUUACCAAAUAUAAAUUUGGCACGAUUAUUUCGCAAAUUAUAAAGUUUAAAGUUUUAAAGAGUUAUUUUU